Molecule: ribosomal RNA, 301 nt
Filed under: uncultured bacterium
Lineage: Bacteria
Description: partial 16S ribosomal RNA
Rfam family: Bacterial small subunit ribosomal RNA
Source: RNAcentral
CAGUAGCCGCGGUAAUACGUAGGGUGCGAGCGUUAAUCGGAUUUACUGGGCGUAAAGCGUGCGCAGGCGGCCCGUUAAGGCAGGUGUGAAAUCCCUGGGCUCAACCUAGGAAUUGCGCUUGUGACUGGCGGGCUCGAGUACGGUAGAGGGGGGUGGAAUUCCUGGUGUAGCAGUGAAAUGCGUAGAGAUCAGGAGGAACACCGAUGGCGAAGGCAGCCCCCUGGGCCUGUACUGACGCUCAUGCACGAAAGCGUGGGGAGCAAACAGGAUUAGAUACCCGAGUAGUCCCUGUCUCUUAUAC